GAGGGUCACAAGGCCUCCUACUGCUCUUAACCAACCCGCGUACUUGCCGGAAAUCAUGUCUCUGCCUCGGCAGCGGCCCCAGGGGGGGCCAGCAGCCCGCCCUGUCGCUCGCGCGGCGGUGGCGGGUGCUGCCGGCGGCGCCUAAACCAGACAACAUUGCGAAUGCAACCUAUUUACAAACCUGUUA
Molecule: unclassified non-coding RNA, 187 nt
Filed under: uncultured Hypocreales
Lineage: Eukaryota; Fungi; Ascomycota; Sordariomycetes; Hypocreales
Description: sequence contains ITS1
Source: RNAcentral